Molecule: microRNA precursor, 57 nt
Filed under: Monopterus albus (swamp eel)
Lineage: Eukaryota; Metazoa; Chordata; Actinopteri; Synbranchiformes; Synbranchidae
Also listed under: 1 other name
Description: Mal-Mir-101-P1-v2_pre stem-loop
Rfam family: mir-101 microRNA precursor family
About the family: The hairpin precursors (represented here) are predicted based on base pairing and cross-species conservation -- their extents are not known. In this case the mature sequence is excised from the 3' arm of the hairpin.
Source: RNAcentral
CAGUUAUCACAGUGCUGAUGCUGUCCCCAUCGAAGGUACAGUACUGUGAUAACUGAA